This 462-nucleotide ribosomal RNA is filed under the name uncultured bacterium. RNAcentral's name for it is "bacterial SSU rRNA". It matches the Rfam family "Bacterial small subunit ribosomal RNA", at positions 355 to 825 of the family's 1533-position model. The record is from RNAcentral.
UAAGGAAUAUUGCGCAAUGGGCGAAAGCCUGACGCAGCGACGCCGCGUGGGGGAUGAAGGUCUUCGGAUUGUAAACCCCUUUCGGGAGGGACGAUGGGAUGGGUAACCAUUCGGACGGUACCUCCAGAAGCAGCCACGGCUAACUUCGUGCCAGCAGCCGCGGUAAGACGGAGGGCGCAAGCGUUGUUCGGAAUUACUGGGCGUAAAGCGCGGGCAGGCGGUCUGUUAAGUCGUUUGUGAAAAUCCGGGGCUCAACCCCGGAAAUGCAUACGAUACUGGCAGGCUGGAGACUGGUAGAGGCUAGCGGAAUUCCUGGUGUAGCGGUGGAAUGCGUAGAUAUCAGGAAGAACACCUGUGGCGAAGGCGGCUAGCUGGGCCAGUUCUGACGCUGAUCCGCGAAAGCGUGGGGAGCAAACAGGAUUAGAUACCCCCGUAGUCCCUGAGCGGGCUGGCAAGGCGCAU